RNAcentral lists this ribosomal RNA (553 nucleotides) under Myrmeleonostenus longipetiolatus. RNAcentral describes it as "partial 16S large subunit ribosomal RNA". The stretch from base 423 to 553 matches the Rfam family "Archaeal large subunit ribosomal RNA", at positions 2544 to 2674 of the family's 2987-position model. Lineage: Eukaryota; Metazoa; Arthropoda; Insecta; Hymenoptera; Ichneumonidae. The record is from RNAcentral.
AAACAUGUCUUUUAGAUUAUAAUUUAAAGUCAAAUYUGCUCCAUGAAAUUAUUUAAAUAGCCGCAGUACUUUGACUGUGCAAAGGUAGCAAAAUCAAUAGUUUCUUAAUUAGAUGCUGGAAUGAACGAUUUAAUAAGGUAAAUAUUGUCUCAAUUUUAAUAAUAUUAGAAUUUUUUUUUUAGUAAAAAAACUAAAUUGAAUUUAAAAGACGAGAAGACCCUAUAGAUUUUUAUAUUUUUAAUUAUAGUUUAUAAAAAAUAAUUAAAUAUUAUAAUUAAAAAUAUUUGGUUGGGAUAAUUAUUAAAUUUAUUAAAUUUUAGUUUAUAAAUAUUUAAAAUUUUAAUUUAUUGAUAAGCAAUAAUUAUUGGAAUUAUUUAUUUAAUGGUCUUGAAAUUUAAAAUAUAAGAAUAAAAUACCUUAGGGAUAACAGCGUAAUUUUUUUGGAAAGAUCAUAUUAAUAAAAAAGUUUGCGACCUCGAUGUUGAAUUAAGGUAAAAUUUUAAUGGAAAAAUUAAAAAUUUUUAGUCUGUUCGACUAUUAAUAUCUUACGUGA